This 460-nucleotide ribosomal RNA is filed under the name uncultured bacterium. Its description in RNAcentral is "partial 16S ribosomal RNA". It matches the Rfam family "Bacterial small subunit ribosomal RNA", at positions 338 to 795 of the family's 1533-position model. The record is from RNAcentral.
CCUACGGGAGGCAGCAGUGAGGAAUAUUGGUCAAUGGCCGGGAGGCUGAACCAGCCAAGUCGCGUGAGGGAAGACGGCCCUACGGGUUGUAAACCUCUUUUGUCGGGGAGCAAGGUGCAGGUCGGGACCUGCUGUGAGAGUACCUGAAGAAAAAGCAUCGGCUAACUCCGUGCCAGCAGGCGCGGUAAUACGUAGGGGGCAAGCGUUAUCCGGAUUUACUGGGUGUAAAGGGAGCGUAGACGGCAGCGCAAGUCUGAAGUGAAAUCCCAUGGCUUAACCAUGGAACUGCUUUGGCAACUGUGCAGCAGGAGUGCAGUGGAGGUAAGCGGAAUUCCGAGUGUAGCGGUGAAAUGCGUAGAUAUUAGGAGGAACACCAGUGGCGAAGGCGGCUUACUGGACUGUAACUGACGUUGAGGCUCGAAAGCGUGGGGAGCAAACAGGAUUAGAUACCCCAGUAGUC